UUAUCGGUGUAGUGUAUUCCUAUUACAUGUAUUGCGCUUCAUAGACUUUAAGUUUGAUUAUAUCCUCCGAUCAAUGGACGCACGUGGUUACACCACGGUAAAAGAAAUGUUUGUUUUGGAACUUGUACACCACCACGAUCCUUUUACCUGCUUUAUUCAAUAAACUUUACAUUGGAUACACUGGUUAAGUUUUAUGUGAUGAGACAGGACAACAGGUCUAAUAACCACAGUUUCAAAACGUAAGAUCGAUUGAAGUCCACGUUCUGUCAGCAUCAUCCUAAGGACCAGUGCAAGUUGAAAUGGGCAUCCAGCCAACAACUUCAACAGCAAUUUGCCAUGAAAAUCAGCACGAAAGGUACUUCAUUUACAUUGAUGAUGUCAUAUCCCCUGGACCCCACAACUUUACAAGUUACAGAGAAAAUUCAAGAACUUCUGCACAAUGUGAGACUCGAAUAUAAUCAAUAAUGUAUUUGUGAUCCAAUAUAUAUUGUGCAACAUACUAAAGUGUGAAUUUAAUGGAAAGCAAGUACAUGUACUCAUGUAUUACAUGUCUUUUUUAAAGACAAUAAUAUUGUAUAAAUAUAGAGGAAGUGUCAUUGUUGAUUAUUCUAAGUUUUUGAUAUACCAAAAUCAGUAAACAUUUGUAAAUGAAAAUAAAAUACCAAUUUUAUAACU
This is a long non-coding RNA of Ostrea edulis (European flat oyster), 675 nucleotides long. RefSeq lists it as uncharacterized. NCBI's taxonomy places the organism in Eukaryota, Metazoa, Mollusca, Bivalvia, Ostreida, Ostreidae. The record is from RefSeq and is a predicted model, not a curated record. The transcript has 4 exons.